RNAcentral lists this long non-coding RNA (1510 nucleotides) under Struthio camelus australis. RNAcentral's name for it is "lncRNA (ENSSCUG00000001164.1)". The record is from RNAcentral. Lineage: Eukaryota; Metazoa; Chordata; Aves; Struthioniformes; Struthionidae.
UGCCAACAACCUAAAAAUAAACCAAGUUGCUAUGCAGGGGUAAACCAUGAAUAUAUGAUCUAUUUAUUCCAUUUAGUAAUUUUUAUAGCUUUAUCACAGUAAUAUUUGAUAAUUGUGAAUGAAGUCAUAUUGAUAAUAUUUAAGCUAAAAUGGAAGACAGAACUUUGUUAACAUUGCUGUUUCUGCAAAAGUAUGUCUACUGCAAAAUAGCCUUACGAUGUCGACUGCAUCUCAUUCAGCUUGUUGUUGUUACCUUUGGAUUUUGUCUAAAUACCUUUGUGUCUCUAUGGUUUCUCUUGCGUGUAGUGCGGUCUUUGCAUUCUGAUGCAUAGCAUUACUGUGCGCUCUCAAGAGUUAUUUUGUUCAACUCCAAGUGUUGUUGCUAGUUCUGCUAGCAGUCUGUUCAGCCUAUCACCACCAGAAGUGUCCGAGAGACUCAUUUCAUCAAGUGUACAGUCCUUCAAGGUCUCCAGGGGACUAGCAGUGCGGAUCUCAGCAGAUUUUAUAUGAUGUAACUGCACAGAAAUGCAACACUGAACAGAAAUGAGAAGUAUUCUUACUCUGAGAUCCUGCCCUCACAUGCUCUGAAAGCUUCACUGCUGGAUGUGGAUACCUCUGCUGGGAGCCUAGUAAGAGGAAAUGGUUGUGCUAGGAGUUAUGCUGUCAUAGUCAGCAUCUCUUUGUCACUGUGCCAUGAGUUAGAACUUGCUCAGUUGCUGUGUGAGCUCAUGACUGGAUUGGUAUUGCAGUAGUGAGUCUUUUCUUGAGGGCAAAACAUUACAAAGCGAGUGGAGUUGCCUCUGGCUAACAUCAUUUUAAGCAAGAGAGAGAGUAUGAGUGAGAUCUACAGCAAAGGUCCUUUCUUCUUUCUAGAUCACUGAGAGCCUUACCCUGCCUCACUACGGACAGUGUGAACUUGGCUAGUGAUCGCUGUAGCAGCAAGACCCGGCAGGCCCUUGCAAGGUAAGGGUUUUGAAGCUCUUCAAGUUAAGCACACUGUUGAACGCAUGUGUCUGUCCACGGGGGAAGAGACUGACACAGAACAAAGUAAUGGGGGAUAAUUGCAAGUCUGAUGGAAUAAUCUUGAAGUGUUAAGAACUGUGGUACAUGACAGAGGUGAAAGAGAUGGGAGAGAAAGAAACUGAAGACAAUCCCCUAAAAGAGAAGCAGCAAAGUCUCUUUUAAGUAAAGAUCUUGUGACAAUACAAGGCUCCCAAAGGGAAUGCUCUGACACUUCACCUGCUGCCUUUUCAGGAGCAGAUUUCCAUUCAUGGCCUGGAAUUUGGCCCUGCUAGUUGGACUGCUUUGUCUGGAGUAAUUGCUUCUGGAGAGCAGGAAACGUGCUGAUGUCUGUCUUCAGAUCAGAUACAACACGUUAAGAAAAUCAGUUUAUGCUAGCAAAGCAAAGAGUUAAGUUUUGAAUUACAAAGUUGGGGGUGCUGUUUACUAGAGAAAAAUGCAAAAAUGAGGAAACUCAAACUUAAAUACCCCUAGCACUUACUUCUUGCUU